ACGUAGGAUGCGAGCGUUGUCCGGAAUUAUUGGGCGUAAAGAGUUCGUAGGCGGUAUAUCAAGUCUGGUGUUAAAUCCCGGGGCUCAACUCCGGAUCGGCACUGGAUACUGAUAAGCUUGAGUGCAGCAGAGGCAAGGGGAAUUCCCAGUGUAGCGGUGAAAUGCGUAGAUAUUGGGAGGAACACCAGUGGCGUAAGCGCCUUGCUGGGCUGUUACUGACGCUGAGGAACGAAAGCCGGGGGAGCAAAUGG
RNAcentral lists this ribosomal RNA (251 nucleotides) under uncultured prokaryote. Its description in RNAcentral is "partial 16S rRNA". It matches the Rfam family "Bacterial small subunit ribosomal RNA", at positions 525 to 775 of the family's 1533-position model. The record is from RNAcentral.